UACUUCUUCUGGGGUGUACCAUAGAAGGGU
This 30-nucleotide non-coding RNA is filed under the name Rattus norvegicus (Norway rat). The record is from RNAcentral. Lineage: Eukaryota; Metazoa; Chordata; Mammalia; Rodentia; Muridae.